GCGUGUGUAAAGAAGGCCUUAUGGUUGUAAAGCACUUUAAGCGAGGAGGAGGCUACUUUAGUUAAUACCUAGAGAUAGUGGACGUUACUCGCAGAAUAAGCACCGGCUAACUCUGUGCCAGCAGCCGCGGUAAUACAGAGGGUGCGAGCGUUAAUCGGAUUUACUGGGCGUAAAGCGUGCGUAGGCGGCUUAUUAAGUCGGAUGUGAAAUCCCCGAGCUUAACUUGGGAAUUGCAUUCGAUACUGGUGAGCUAGAUUAUGGGAGAGGAUGGUAGAAUUCCAGGUGUAGCGGUGAAAUGCGUAGAGAUCUGGAGGAAUACCGAUGGCGAAGGCAGCCAUCUGGCCUAAUACUGACGCUGAGGUACGAAAGCAUGGGGAGCAAACAGGAUUAGAUACCCUGGUAGUCCAUGCCGUAAACGAUGUCUACUAGCCGUUGGGGCCUUUGAGGCUUUAGUGGCGCAGCUAACGCGAUAAGUAGACCGCCUGGGGAGUACGGUCGCAAGACUAAAACUCAAAUGAAUUGACGGGGGCCCGCACAAGCGGUGGAGCAUGUGGUUUAAUUCGAUGCAACGCGAAGAACCUUACCUGGCCUUGACAUACUAGAAACUUUCCAGAGAUGGAUUGGUGCCUUCGGGAAUCUAGAUACAGGUGCUGCAUGGCUGUCGUCAGCUCGUGUCGUGAGAUGUUGGGUUAAGUCCCGCAACGAGCGCAACCCUUUUCCUUACUUGCCAGCAUUUCGGAUGGGAACUUUAAGGAUACUGCCAGUGACAAACUGGAGGAAGGCGGGGACGACGUCAAGUCAUCAUGGCCCUUACGGCCAGGGCUACACACGUGCUACAAUGGUCGGUACAAAGGGUUGCUACACAGCGAUGUGAUGCUAAUCUCAAAAAGCCGAUCGUAGUCCGGAUUGGAGUCUGCAACUCGACUCC
This 928-nucleotide ribosomal RNA is filed under the name Acinetobacter calcoaceticus. Its description in RNAcentral is "bacterial SSU rRNA". It matches the Rfam family "Bacterial small subunit ribosomal RNA", at positions 399 to 1319 of the family's 1533-position model. Lineage: Bacteria; Pseudomonadati; Pseudomonadota; Gammaproteobacteria; Moraxellales; Moraxellaceae. The record is from RNAcentral.